Molecule: long non-coding RNA, 2736 nt
Filed under: Homo sapiens (human)
Lineage: Eukaryota; Metazoa; Chordata; Mammalia; Primates; Hominidae
Description: HSALNT0178469
Source: RNAcentral
CUGGACUAUGCCCAAGUGAGUCCUUGGAGGGGACCCACUGGAGCUCCCCACUAUAGAUUUUUUGUUUCCGGAUAUUAAUACUGGGAAAGGGGUGAUUCAACUAGGACAGUAUUUGCAAGGAUCUGAUAAGGGAGACACUGUAGAACAUAAAUACAUGAUGGUUACCUCAGAAAAGAUAUAAACGCCUGGUAAAAUCUGGGUGGGCUGACUGAAGAAGAAGUAAUUGGAGAAUGCACAGUAACAUACACAAUUUAGCAGCAAAGGUGGGCUCUUAUUGAGUCACAUGGGACCUUGCUGAGACCCAAUCCCAACGAGCCUAGUGAAACUCUCUGGUGAUGAUGUCUGCAAAUAGCAGGGAGACUGAGCAGCAUUUGUAAUGCAAUGACAGACAAUUCCCCAAUAGUACCCCAUUCCUUUAUUAGGUGUCCUCAAGUCAUUUAGCAUCCAGAUUUAUCCAGGCAUUUCCAAAGGCAAGUCUUAGUCUUUGACUAGAAAUUCAUCUGAAAAAAAGUUUCUGGGAAGGAGGCCCCAGGUAAACAUUCUUCCCCAAAUAACAUUUCAAUGAGGACUCAGUGAGGAUCAGAAUUCAGAAGAUGGCAGAACCCUCCACAUGUUUUUCUAAGUCACAGAUUUGGUGAACAUUUUAUUCUUUCUCUUUUUGAUCAUUACUAGUGGGGCAAAUGAAGCAAGGUAGGGUGGGGUGAUGGAAGGGGAGAAUUGCAUAAAAUCAGUGUUAGGAUGAUCUGCCCCAGAAGGCAUGUAUUCCUCUUAGACGCUCAGCUGUGGCAUAAAACAUUCCAUGUGGACUUUGAAUUAGAAUGAGCGUGGGGGCGGGGACAAAGAUCAACCUGAAAGCCAAACGGAGUCAUUGACCGAUGGUGUUAAGCUUGAGAAAGUUUGCAGAUGGCCAGCUCUCCUACUGACAUCCCACAGAAAGCCAGGCUUGAUCUAUUGUGGUUAGGUGGAGUUUCUCCUGCCAGGGAAAAUACAGUUGCUAGGAGAAUGGGCUUUGGAUGUUAUAACUCUGAAGAAGUUUCAUGACUCUUGCUACUAGAGAUAGGAAGGCAACCUGGGGCCAGGGCUGGAGCAGACAAUUUCCUUACUCAGCAGCUGAAGCGGGGAGCUGAAAGAAGGAUCCAAAAAAUCAGAGAAGAGUUGUAAGUUAAGUGGAAAACCAUGACCCAAAGGUCAAUACAAGGAUCAGCACACCAAAGUGACCAAAAGCAGCUACUGAAGAUGUGACCCAGGACCAGAAAACAAAGCAACAAGGAAAGAGAGGAGUAAGAGCAAACUGUGAAGAAUAAACUGAGAGGUGUCUGAAGAUAGUCAAGGACAAGAGCCUGGGGUGUGACGGACACAUAGCUGGAUGUGUGAGACUACGGGACCAGGAGCUCAAGAGGCCUAGGCAGCAAGGUGCAGGCCAGGGCAAAACGUGCAUCAGCAAUAAAAUAGAUUUGGUGGGUGGACACAUUAGGAGUACUCAUAUAAGAACUUUCCUAUUUGGAGAUGCCCAGAUCAUGCUCUACCCUUGGGUUUAGAAAUUCUGAGCAGCCAAAUGUGAAUGGUUUGCUCUGGAUAAGUCCUUUUCAUUAUAGCCAAUUGGAACCAUUUGAAUUCACACUCCUAAUUACCUGCUUCUGGUUGCUGUGUCUAAACCAUGUCUGGACCAACAUAGCUUCUGGUACUCUACACUCCACCAUGGGUCUUGGUCCAGCAUCACUGGCAGGGACAUACCAGCCCUGUUCAUAGGACUGGAAUAAAAUCCAGAAGUAAGUUGUCUCAGGACCUCUGUUUAAUAACAGGUUAGAAACAACUCCUGUAGGUAUGGUUGUGGGAUCCUGGCCUGGGACCAGGAGCAUAUAAAUCUGCAACAAUUACCACUGGGUAGGCCUUAGCAAGGAUUACUAUGAGGUUCAGCAACAAAGCUGCAAGAACUAGUGGUGGGGACUUUGUUCCUAAAGUGCAGUGUCCCUGGUGCCAAGUGCUUGUGGGCAACCUAGAGCCGCAUCUGAUGUAGGAAGACUUCAUUGUCCUGAAAUGGAAUGUCUAGAAACUGUUAAGGAGCUGGAGGUCUAUAAGCUGUUGUUUGGUUUAAGAGUUUUCUUACACAGUAUCUUCUCUUUGUGGGACAACGUCUAGCUUUCAAGGUGUCUCAAAACUAACAGGUGUUGACCCGGCGUGGUGGCUCACGCCUGUAAUCCCAGCACUUUGGGACGCCGAGGUGGGUGGAUCACCUGAGGUCAGAAGUUCAAGACCAGCCUGGCCAACAUGGUGAAACCCCGCCUCUACUAAAAAUACAAAAAAUAGCCGGGUGUAGCAGCAUGCACCUGUAAUCCCAGCUACUCAGGAGGCUGAGUCAGGAGAAACACUUGAACCUGGGAGGCGGAGGUUGUAGUGAGCUGAGAUCGUGCCACUGCACUCCAGCCUGGGCAGCAGAGCAAGACUCCAUCUCAAAAAACAAAACAAAACAAAAACAGGUGUUAAUGAGGAACUUGUAAUUUUUGGAGGUGAGUAGAGAAAGUGAAAGAACAGCACUAAAAGUAACUGUGAUGAAUGAGUGUUGUGCCUCUACUAUCAAGCAAUACCAUUAUCUUCCUCUUUAAACUUUGUUAUUUUAGCCAAUAGUGUCAUCAUUUUCUAAUUCCUUUUUUUUUUUUUUGGGACAGAGUCUAGCUCUGUCGCCAGGUUGGAGUACAGUGGCGCAAUCUCCACUCACUGCAACCUCUGCCUUCCGGG